This 75-nucleotide transfer RNA is filed under the name Aeromonas phage 4_4572. RNAcentral describes it as "tRNA-Glu". It matches the Rfam family "tRNA". From Rfam's summary of the family: Transfer RNA (tRNA) molecules are approximately 80 nucleotides in length. Lineage: Duplodnaviria; Heunggongvirae; Uroviricota; Caudoviricetes; Grimontviridae. The record is from RNAcentral.
GCUCCUAUCGACUAAUGGUUAGGUCAUCAGACUUUCAAUCUGAAAAUACGAGUUCGAGCCUCGUUAGGAGUACCA